RNAcentral lists this transfer RNA (74 nucleotides) under Marmota monax (woodchuck). RNAcentral describes it as "tRNA.Gly". The stretch from base 11 to 66 matches the Rfam family "tRNA", at positions 9 to 63 of the family's 71-position model. From Rfam's summary of the family: Transfer RNA (tRNA) molecules are approximately 80 nucleotides in length. Lineage: Eukaryota; Metazoa; Chordata; Mammalia; Rodentia; Sciuridae. The record is from RNAcentral.
CUGAGGGUGCAGCUCAGUGGUAGAGCAUUUGCCUACCAUGCACAAGGCCCUGGAUUCAAUCCCCAGCUCUGAAA